UACGUAGGGGGCAAGCGUUGUCCGGAAUUAUUGGGCGUAAAGAGUGCGUAGGCGGUCAAUUAAGUCUAGUUUGAAAGCCCAUGGCUUAACCAUGGAUGGUGACUAGAAACUGUUUGACUUGAGGAUAGGAGAGGAAAGUGGAAUUCCACGUGUAGCGGUGAAAUGCGUAGAGAUGUGGAGGAACACCAGUGGCGAAGGCGACUCUUUGGUCUGUAACUGACGCUGAGGCGCGAAAGCGUGGGGAGCAAACAGG
This 253-nucleotide ribosomal RNA is filed under the name uncultured bacterium. RNAcentral's name for it is "partial 16S ribosomal RNA". It matches the Rfam family "Bacterial small subunit ribosomal RNA", at positions 524 to 776 of the family's 1533-position model. The record is from RNAcentral.